This is a long non-coding RNA of Gallus gallus (chicken), 1973 nucleotides long. Lineage: Eukaryota; Metazoa; Chordata; Aves; Galliformes; Phasianidae. The record is from Ensembl.
CUACCUACUAUUUCUUCACUUGAAUUGUUUCAUUCUCUCUAUGGAAAAAAAUAAUGUUUUAGGAGUGAUGAGCUUUAUAUAGUGAUGGAAAGUGUUUUUUCAUUUGUUUCCUCCCUCAGAUCUUAUUUAGUGCAGAAUUAUAAAUUAUAUAGAGGCACGAUGCUGAGAAUGGGGAAGGUGACACUUCUAAUCUUAACUUCCGUAUGUCAUAAAUCACUGAUUUAUAAAACAGUGAUGAGAUCAUUAAUUUUCCUUGAAGGGGUAUUCUAGAAAUUAAAUAAUAUUCUGGAAAUAUUCGAGUACAGUAGAGAAGAGUUCCAUAAUCCGUCAUGCACAGUACAUGGAUCAGGAGUCCAAAUGAGAAGCGUACUUUAUGAUCUUGUAAUUAAAACUCUAUUGUAAUACAUAAGCAUACAAAAACAAUUUAGCACUACAUGACCAAUGUUGGCUUUGACUUAUUCUUUCUUUUAGCUAUAUCUUACGUCUAUCCUCUUCAUCUUAACUUUAUAUUUCACUAUGUUGUGUGUUACGUGCUUACAAGAUUGUGUAUAUAUUUAUAUCCUGUGUACACAUGGGAUUUAUUUGGCCUAAUAUCAGUCAUCUAGACUUGCUCCAAUCAGAAGAUGUUUUAUUCUACAGUAGGUGCCUUUGAGAAUCAGGAUGCCUCUCUCUUCACACUGACUACUGUGAGGUCCAGUAUUGGUAGCUGUUUCAUCAUGGGGAAUAUUUUUAAGAACUGAGCAUUAUGCAUCACAGCUUAAAAAAUAUGGUGAUAUUUCACAUUACCAGCAACAUCCAAUUUACUUUAUUAAUGGUAGGUGCAAAAUACACAGCUGCCUAGGUUAACAGGUCAGGCAAGGGGAGACCAAACUAAUCAAAAAACUAAAUUUUCAGCCUGUAAUUUCUCUACAAAUAAUAACUGCAAAAGUAAAAUCCAACUUUGAUCUCAAAACUUCUGCUUUGUUUUAGAUUAAUACCUUAUCUUAUACAAAUCCUUGGAUUCCACAUGUAUUGUUCUGGAUUGGAGUGCACAAAGCUUCCACAGUACAAAAGACCAAGACCUAAUUGCCUGUACAACUCUAUUGAGUGACCUCAAGGAACGACACAGAUCAAUCCACUUCCUAGAGAGAAACUGCCACCGUGGAGAGAGUAUAUCCACACUCUGGAGCUACUGCUGGCUGUUACUAACCCCUGUGAGAGCUCUGGAAGUGAUCAGAGGAGCUGUGCAAGAGCUGUCCUAAGAUAUUUCACGUGCUGAAUAUGAAGAUCAGUCUCCAGUAUCACAGGGUGCACCACUGACUCACACCAGCGCGUGGCUUACUCGUUUCAAAGGAGCAGAAGUACAGAAAGAAAGGGUUCAACUAAGUUAUGCACACACUUUUUCCCCCUUCUCAUAGAAUUUUCUCUGCACUCACUUUCCAAUGUCCCCGUUGUCUUCUCUAGCUCCACUUCCAACAGUCUCAGGUGCACUUCUGUGCAGUUUCACAGUGUUGUGCUUUUCUUUAAAUCAGUGGUAGGUUGGAGAGCCUGCGAUAGAAGUAGAUGGUAUCUAGUGGGCAUCCUGUUUAGUAACAGGAUAUUCCUGCUCUGGACAUCCAGAUAUGGUUCUGGAGUAGACAUUUUCAGCACAAGAUUGAUCCCACAUCUGUUCCUUCUUGUCUUAUCUAAUGCCCAAGGUGUUUUCCAAGAUAAAAGCAUCAUUAUCAAAGAGUGCUUCCCAGAGUAAGAGGAAGCCUAUUUAUGUUUCUUAUUACCUUGUAAACGAAGGUUACGUGAGGUGAGAUCCUUGCAGAAUCAGAGUGGGAAAGCUGAUAAGGGCACAUUGUGGAUGUCCAUGGCCAGCAGGCACGAGAGGCAGUGUGGGCCCCCCACCCUGAUACACAGGAUGCUGUGCCUUGAAUCAUCCCAGGCUGUUUCCAACACACUCUCCCAAACCAGACUAAAGAGUUCCUGUUCCAGAAGUGAAAGAGGUC